Molecule: unclassified non-coding RNA, 237 nt
Filed under: Hevea brasiliensis (rubber tree)
Lineage: Eukaryota; Viridiplantae; Streptophyta; Magnoliopsida; Malpighiales; Euphorbiaceae
Source: RNAcentral
AACAAAGCAACUACAGACCCAAUCCCCCCACUUUCAGCUUCUCCCUUCAAGUACAACGAAGACAACGACCCAAUCGCAUCACGACACGCAUCCCUAACACCCGAAUCCGAAUCCUUCAGCCUUUUAACAAUGUUGCCGAUAAUUUUCGUCAAAUGGGUCGCCGCAGAAUCUCCGUGCGAAGCACAUACAGUGGGAAGAAGCCGAAGGGUUUCUUUCUUAACGGCAGGUUUUGGGUCG